Molecule: ribosomal RNA, 253 nt
Filed under: uncultured bacterium
Lineage: Bacteria
Description: partial 16S ribosomal RNA
Rfam family: Bacterial small subunit ribosomal RNA
Source: RNAcentral
UACGUAGGGUGCGAGCGUUAUCCGGAAUCAUUGGGCUUAAAGGGUCCGCAGGCGGGAAGAUAAGUCAGUGGUGAAAUCUCACAGCUCAACUGUGAAACUGCCAUUGAUACUGUCUUUCUUGAAUUCGAUCGAAGUGGGCGGAAUGUGACAUGUAGCGGUGAAAUGCUUAGAUAUGUCACAGAACACCGAUAGCGAAGGCAGCUCACUAGGUCUGGAUUGACGCUCAGGGACGAAAGCGUGGGGAGCAAACAGG